This 429-nucleotide ribosomal RNA is filed under the name Chloroflexota bacterium. RNAcentral's name for it is "Chloroflexi bacterium partial 16S ribosomal RNA". It matches the Rfam family "Bacterial small subunit ribosomal RNA", at positions 355 to 776 of the family's 1533-position model. Lineage: Bacteria; Bacillati; Chloroflexota. The record is from RNAcentral.
UGGGGAAUAUUGCACAAUGGGCGCAAGCCUGAUGCAGCCAUGCCGCGUGUAUGAAGAAGGCCUUCGGGUUGUAAAGUACUUUCAGUCGGGAGGAAGGUGGUAAGGUUAAUAACCUUAUCAAUUGACGUUACCGACAGAAGAAGCACCGGCUAACUCCGUGCCAGCAGCCGCGGUAAUACGUAGGUGGCAAGCGUUGUCCGGAUUUAUUGGGCGUAAAGCGAGCGCAGGCGGUUUCUUAAGUCUGAUGUGAAAGCCCCCGGCUCAACCGGGGAGGGUCAUUGGAAACUGGGAGACUUGAGUGCAGAAGAGGAGAGUGGAAUUCCAUGUGUAGCGAUGAAAUGCGUAGAUAUAUGGAGGAACACCAGUGGCGAAGGCGGCUCUCUGGUCUGUAACUGACGCUGAGGCUCGAAAGCGUGGGGAGCAAACAGG